Molecule: non-coding RNA, 121 nt
Organism: Ostreococcus tauri
Lineage: Eukaryota; Viridiplantae; Chlorophyta; Mamiellophyceae; Mamiellales; Bathycoccaceae
Source: Rfam
GCUGGGAUGCCCGAGUGGUCCAAGGGGCCAGACUCAAGUACGACGCGUUCGAGCUUCACCGGAACUUAGGUGAGUGUUCUGGUAGUCACUGACUGCGUGGGUUCGAACCCCACUCUCAGCA